RNAcentral lists this ribosomal RNA (847 nucleotides) under uncultured bacterium. RNAcentral describes it as "bacterial SSU rRNA". It matches the Rfam family "Bacterial small subunit ribosomal RNA", at positions 44 to 905 of the family's 1533-position model. The record is from RNAcentral.
GCGANCUUUCCAUGCAAGUCGUACGAGAGUUUUUAACUCAAGUGGCGGACGGGUGAGUAACACGUAAGAAUUUGCCUUUAGGAGGGGGAUAACAUCAGUGAGCUAUUAAGCACGCUAAUUGAAAAAGUUGCUAAUACCCCAUAUGCUUUCGAGUGAAACGGAUUUUUCCGCCUAGAGAGAAGCUUGCGGCUGAUUAGCUUGUUGGUGAGGUAAUGGCUCACCAAGGCGACGAUCAGUAUCUGGUUUGAGAGGACGAUCAGACACACUGGAACUGAGACACGGUCCAGACUCCUACGGGAGGCAGCAGUGGGGAAUUUUCCGCAAUGGGCGAAAGCCUGACGGAGCAAUACCGCGUGAGGGAUGACGGCCUAUGGGUUGUAAACCUCUUUUUUCAGGGAGGAAUAAAUGACGUGUACCUGAAGAAUAAGCAUCGGCUAACUCCGUGCCAGCAGCCGCGGUAAGACGGAGGAUGCAAGUGUUAUCCGGAAUCACUGGGCGUAAAGCGUCUGUAGGUGGUCCAAUAAGUCAACUGUUAAAUCUUGAGGCUUAACCUCAAAAUCGCAGUCGAAACUAUUAGACUAGAGUAUAGUAGGGGUAAAGGGAAUUUCCAGUGGAGCGGUGAAAUGCGUANAUAUUGGAAAGAACACCGAUGGCGAAGGCACUUUACUGGGCUAUUACUAACACUCANAGACNAAAGCUANGGUAGCAAAUGGGAUUANAUACCCCAGUANUCCUAGCCGUAAAACUAUGGAUACUANAUGUUGGACAGAUCNACCUGUGCNNUAUUAAAGNCUAACGCGUUAANUAUCCCGCCUGGGAAGUAUGCUCNCAANAANUGAAACUCAAA